GUACACUCCUGCGGGAGGCAGCAGUGGGGAAUAUUGGACAAUGGGCGCAAGCCUGAUCCAGCCAUGCCGCGUGAGUGAUGAAGGCCCUAGGGUUGUAAAGCUCUUUCACCGGUGAAGAUAAUGACGGUAACCGGAGAAGAAGCCCCGGCUAACUUCGUGCCAGCAGCCGCGGUAAUACGAAGGGGGCUAGCGUUGUUCGGAUUUACUGGGCGUAAAGCGCACGUAGGCGGACUAUUAAGUCAGGGGUGAAAUCCCGGGGCUCAACCCCGGAACUGCCUUUGAUACUGGUAGUCUUGAGUUCGAGAGAGGUGAGUGGAAUUCCGAGUGUAGAGGUGAAAUUCGUAGAUAUUCGGAGGAACACCAGUGGCGAAGGCGGCUCACUGGCUCGAUACUGACGCUGAGGUGCGAAAGCGUGGGGAGCAAACAGGAUUAGAUACCCGUGUAGUCC
RNAcentral lists this ribosomal RNA (448 nucleotides) under uncultured organism. Its description in RNAcentral is "partial 16S ribosomal RNA". It matches the Rfam family "Bacterial small subunit ribosomal RNA", at positions 331 to 796 of the family's 1533-position model. The record is from RNAcentral.